GCGGGUGUAGCUCAAUGGUCGAGCAGAAGCUUCCCAAGCUUACGACGAGGGUUCGAUUCCCUUCACCCGCUCCA
RNAcentral lists this transfer RNA (74 nucleotides) under Parundibacterium terreum. RNAcentral's name for it is "Undibacterium terreum tRNA-Gly". It matches the Rfam family "tRNA". Rfam says of the family: Transfer RNA (tRNA) molecules are approximately 80 nucleotides in length. Their secondary structure includes four short double-helical elements and three loops (D, anti-codon, and T loops). The record is from RNAcentral. Lineage: Bacteria; Pseudomonadati; Pseudomonadota; Betaproteobacteria; Burkholderiales; Oxalobacteraceae.